GUUCUUUCUUUUUUACAGCAGCGUAGUAUUCUAUUGUGUAGAUCAAGCAUGUCAAACUCAAAGGCUAACAGAGGCCAAAUAAAUGAGACAUGCAGCCUGCAGGCUGUCAGUUUGACAU
This is a long non-coding RNA of Myotis brandtii (Brandt's bat), 118 nucleotides long. RefSeq lists it as uncharacterized. The transcript is spliced from 3 exons. The record is from RefSeq and is a predicted model, not a curated record. Lineage: Eukaryota; Metazoa; Chordata; Mammalia; Chiroptera; Vespertilionidae.